AACGAACGCUGGCGGCAUGCCUAACACAUGCAAGUCGAACGAGACCUUCGGGUCUAGUGGCGCACGGGUGCGUAACGCGUGGGAACCUGCCCUUAGGUUCGGAAUAACUCCCCGAAAGGGGUGCUAAUACCGGAUAAUGUCUUCGGACCAAAGAUUUAUCGCCUUUGGAUGGGCCCGCGUUGGAUUAGCUAGUUGGUAGGGUAAAAGCCUACCAAGGCGACGAUCCAUAGCUGGUCUGAGAGGAUGAUCAGCCACACUGGGACUGAGACACGGCCCAGACUCCUACGGGAGGCAGCAGUGGGGAAUAUUGGACAAUGGGCGAAAGCCUGAUCCAGCAAUGCCGCGUGAGUGAUGAAGGCCUUAGGGUUGUAAAGCUCUUUUACCCGGGAUGAUAAUGACAGUACCUGGAGAAUAAGCUCCGGCUAACUCCGUG
This 433-nucleotide ribosomal RNA is filed under the name uncultured bacterium. RNAcentral describes it as "partial 16S ribosomal RNA". It matches the Rfam family "Bacterial small subunit ribosomal RNA", at positions 29 to 507 of the family's 1533-position model. The record is from RNAcentral.